CACCUGUAGUAAAACCUUUAUCCUUAAGACUUUCAACGUCAAAUCAAUUGUUAGUAAAGCAGUACAGGCGAGCCAUCUCAGCGUGAGCACUCUUGCUACAUGUAUUUCGUUCUUGUUUGUAAUAUAUAGAAAAAGAAUGCCUUUAUCAAAGAAUGCCUAUAUUGUCUUUACAAUGUGUCACUAACUCUGAAUCCUCCAAUAAUAGUUUUUGAAAACAUUGAACAUAAAUAUUCGAAGAUCUACAAUCAAAACCAACAUCUUCUGGCAAACAUUCAGAUAUGUCAUAUCCCAUACACAACUGCUUGAAAAAGUAGAACAAUUGAUGGAUUGAUUAUCGGUUGCUUAACGUCCAGUGACAAGUAGUUCAUGGAUGUUCAGGACAGUUUAGUAGUGACAUGGAUGUAUACAAUUUAAAUAUAUCAGUGUUUAAUACGUACUGCUUUAUUAGUCGUUUAACUUUUUUGAAUAUGUUGUGUACAAGUUGUAGUUGUGUAAGCAAUAGUAGUUUGACAUGUAAAAUUAGUAAUGUGUUCUCUUUUAUUUUUCUCAGUUAUUUGUUUAUUAUUUUUUCAUGGCCUACCCACGUUAAGAGAGAGUAAUAUCUCUUGCAUGUAAAAGACACCGUGGCCUUGUAGAUUUCGAAAAAGAGCAGUCUAAUGCCGCUACAAGUAGGCACUCGCACCAGCAAAGUGGAAAGAUAUAAAUUGUAAUAACUUGUUUCCCAAUCCACUAUGAAUAAAUAUGUUUAAACUAAACUAUAGAAAACAUAAAACAGUACAUUUCCCCCUCAAUUGUUCCGAUUGUAAUAGAUAUAAGAAGAUGUGGUAAGUUUAUUUUUACUUCUUCAAAUUGCUCUUACCUGACCGAGUACCAGGAUGAAAAAAGUCAAUUUGCAUUUGUUCUAAACAGAAGGCCGGGUGUGGUCAAAGCGUGGGUCAAAGGUAUUUCGAUAUUUACCAACGAUAUGUCUUUUAACAAUUUACAGAUCCAUUUACAUAUAGUCGACAGUAUUCUACAAUUGUCUGUAUAUCAAAUGUGUACUGUGAUAGUUUAAUUCUUACUUUUUUUAACUGAAUACUUGUACUUUCAAACGCAAUCAUGUGUUAUUUAUCGUUCUUAAAAUGAAAUAUUUGCCACUGGACGUUAAGUAAACACCUAUUAAUCAAUGUUUUACAUAUUACAUAUUGUUAAAUGUUUCUUUCUAUUAUAUGAAUGAAAAACAGUAUUAAAAUCAAUAUCGGUCCUUUCGGUUUACAGCCCGAAAUAUAAAUUAUUCCAUUUAGAUUUAUGGCUUUAUAUAUAAACAUCCGCAUUCGAUAAUAAACCCUUUGUAAAGAAAGUACAAUACUAUGUAUCAGUAAACGUUGUAUUUUUAGAAAAUAAAUACAAAGAAGUAAAGGAUUACACGAAUUUCGCAGAACAAAACAAGUCAAUUUAACCAAUAUAUGUACAUAGUAUACCAGUUACUUAUUGUGGUACACCAAACGGAACGUUUUUUCUUUAUUCCAAUCGAUUUGUUUUCAUGAAACAAAAUGUGCAACAUGAUAUGUGGUCUUGCCUGUUGUGCAUGUAUGAUUGCACUAGCUGUAGUUUUGAAUGAAAAAAAAGAACAAAUAUCUUGUUUCUUUAAUUGUUCAUAUGAGUGCUACCUUGAUCAAUAUGGAUUGAAACCUGGACCACAUUUAUGCAAAAUGUCUUAUGUAGCUGCAUUCGGAAGACGUUUUAAUGAAGGAAAGGAUUUAAUUUCAUAUAAAGAGGCUUAUGUGACACCGAUAGAUGUUUAAACUAUGUGCGAACUUUGGUGCUUCAAAAUGCCAAAGAUUCAGGGUUCAGAAAAGUAAAUAAUAAAACGGAGUAAACUUAAGGUGGUACAUAACACAACUGGUAGAUAACUCUGUAAAAAUCAAAAUAAUCACGUUCAUUGUUAAGGAAAUAUUAAGCUUCUCAAUGAUCAAAAUUAGUGUCUGUCAAACUGCUAUCUAUCCAAUAAAAUUUUUCCGAUAAAGUGUGUGGUUCCAGUUUUUUGUAAUUUUUAUAUUUUUUUCAAAGAGUCAAAGUAAAUAUUUUGUCAAAAUUUUAUGAAAAUUAAACGAGCCAAAUUAAUUUUCGUCAAGAUGUUUGGUACAUGUACCACCUUUAUUUAGAAAAUGUAUUUUUAUGUCCGACAUCAUACCAUUUCGUUUUUGUUUUUGUUUAUAAUAUAUACUACAAGAAUGAAAUGGUAAUACAUUUUGACAUCGAAAUGAAUUCAACUUCAGACAGGACUGAACAAUGCUGUAAAAGUUUGCAAAAGUACGAAACACAAUAUUCGAAUAAAGUAAACCAGUAACUUUGUAGGUGGAGGAAAAAAUGAAUACACAUUACUUAUUAACCAUGUCAGUGAUGAAGGAAUUCAAUUUAAAACAUCCUAUAAAAGAAAAAAAAUGCAAAGGUUUGAUACUUAAAAACCCUAAAAAAUAAAUGUAUUAGAUUUUGUAUCUGAACCGACCAGUCUUUGCUCGAACUCUUUAAUACUUGCUUAACGGAGAAACAGCACAAACCAAAGAAUUAUGAUUAAGGUCCAUAUCAAAUUUAGAUAAAAUAUUUUUUUUUCUUUCUAUUGAUUUUGACAGUGUUGACAGCUUUUAACGUAUUAUAUGUUAGUAGUUUUUAGCCAUAGUUGAUGUUCAGAUAAGUUUUUAAGGUCUAUUUCCUUUUGAAAAAUACCUCACCCUUGACAAAAAAAAAUGUUAGAAAUAUAUUUAUAUGAAUGGAAUACACAAACCAACAAAGUAUUAUGGUGCUCCAUGCAUGUGGCCAGUGUUGUCAGAAGCACAAGCUAUCAAUUCAAGCAAAAAAUAAGUAAAAUUUACGAUUUAAUUUAUAAAAAUGACGUCCAAAAGACAUGAUUAAGGUAACCGGUGUAAUGUAUUAAUUUUGUAUUUGUCGGUUUUUUUUCACAUUUUUGUAUUGAUUUUGUAUUUGUCGUUUUUUUUCAAAUUUUUUAUUAAAUGAUUACGAUCAUCAUA
Long non-coding RNA from Mytilus californianus (California mussel), 3008 nucleotides. RefSeq lists it as uncharacterized. Lineage: Eukaryota; Metazoa; Mollusca; Bivalvia; Mytilida; Mytilidae. The transcript is spliced from 3 exons. The record is from RefSeq and is a predicted model, not a curated record.